Molecule: ribosomal RNA, 871 nt
Filed under: Pseudocercospora tetramelis
Lineage: Eukaryota; Fungi; Ascomycota; Dothideomycetes; Mycosphaerellales; Mycosphaerellaceae
Description: eukaryotic LSU rRNA
Rfam family: Eukaryotic large subunit ribosomal RNA
Source: RNAcentral
CUAGCAUAUCAAUAAGCGGAGGAAAAGAAACCAACAGGGAUUGCCCCAGUAACGGCGAGUGAAGCGGCAACAGCUCAAAUUUGAAAUCUGGCGCAAGCCCGAGUUGUAAUUUGCAGAGGAUGCUUCUGGGCAGCGGCCGGUCUAAGUUCCUUGGAACAGGACGUCAUAGAGGGUGAGAAUCCCGUACGUGACUGGCUCGCGCCCUCCACGUAGCUCCUUCGACGAGUCGAGUUGUUUGGGAAUGCAGCUCUAAAUGGGAGGUAAAUUUCUUCUAAAGCUAAAUACCGGCCAGAGACCGAUAGCGCACAAGUAGAGUGAUCGAAAGAUGAAAAGCACUUUGGAAAGAGAGUUAAAAAGCACGUGAAAUUGUUGAAAGGGAAGCGCCCGCAAGCAGACUUUGCGGCGGUGUUCCGCCGGUCUUCUGACCGGUGUACUCGCCGCCGUGAGGCCAUCAUCGUCUGGGACCGCUGGAUAAGACCGGAGGAAUGUAGCUUCCCGCGGGAAGUGUUAUAGCCUCUGGUGAUGCAGCGCGUCUCGGGCGAGGUCCGCGCUUCGGCAAGGAUGAUGGCGUAAUGGUUGUCGGCGGCCCGUCUUGAAACACGGACCAAGGAGUCUAACAUCUAUGCGAGUGUUCGGGUGUCAAACCCCUACGCGUAAUGAAAGUGAACGGAGGUGGGAACUUUCGGGUGCACCAUCGACCGAUCCUGAUGUCCUCGGAUGGAUUUGAGUAAGAGCAUAGCUGUUGGGACCCGAAAGAUGGUGAACUAUGCCUGAAUAGGGUGAAGCCAGAGGAAACUCUGGUGGAGGCUCGCAGCGGUUCUGACGUGCAAAUCGAUCGUCAAAUUUGGGUAUAGGUACGAAAGACUAAUCG